CCCUUAGAUGUUCUGGGCCGCACGCGCGCUACACUGAUGCAUGCAACGAGUUCUUUCCUUGGCUCGAUAGGCCUGGGUAAUCUUUGAACGCCGGUCGUGAUGGGGAUAGAUCCUUGCAAUUUUUGAUCUUCAACGAGGAAUUCCUAGUAAAUGCGAGUCAUCAUCUCGCGUUGAUUACGUCCCUGCCCUUUGUACACACCGCCCGUCGCACCUACCGAUUGAAUGGUCCGGUGAAGCCUCGGGAUUGCGAAUGCUUCGUGCGGACGCGAGAACUUGGCUAAACCUUACCAUUUAGAGGAAGGUGAAGUCGUAACA
Molecule: ribosomal RNA, 315 nt
Filed under: uncultured eukaryote
Lineage: Eukaryota
Description: partial 18S ribosomal RNA
Rfam family: Eukaryotic small subunit ribosomal RNA
Source: RNAcentral